Carassius auratus (goldfish) is the source of this 689-nucleotide long non-coding RNA. RefSeq lists it as uncharacterized. NCBI's taxonomy places the organism in Eukaryota, Metazoa, Chordata, Actinopteri, Cypriniformes, Cyprinidae. The record is from RefSeq and is a predicted model, not a curated record. The transcript is spliced from 4 exons.
UUUUGACACAAAACCCACCUAAUCUCAUAGGUUAUAGCCAACAAUUUUGUGGGUGGGAGGUAGUUGUAGAGAUGUAGAUGUCAAAAAUAUAGGCUAGGUAAAUAGAUAAAAUCAAUUCCCAUGAUAUAUUUUUAAUAUUAUUAUUUUGCUUUCUAUUAAACACACUAAUUACAAAAAGAGCGGAAUCGUACGCGAUAUACCUGGCAACCAAUCAUCUAAACCGUCAGCCUGCACUCAUUUUCCAAUUCAUUUUCUGAGCCUUUGAGGAUGAACAAGACCAACGAGAACCAUUCAGGUAAAAAUCCUUGGUGAAGUCACCAGAUAUGGAUGGUGUCCAUGUAACUUCAAAACUGCCGUUGGCCUUCGUACACAUAUGUAUCGUAACCAUGCAGUGAUUACACCAAGUGCUGACAAAUCACACAGUGGUGUUAAUAUGACAUGCCAGGUUAUGGAAUGUUCUUUCACUUCCACAUCUGGGGAUGCAUGGUGAAACGAAUAUCUCUGUGUAGGUCUAUGCAGUGUUGAAUAUGUUUUUCAUUUCUUUCAGCGUGUAUGUUGUUCGACAUUGCAGCGUGCUGAUGAGUUAAUAAAGAGGCAGCAAAAACCUGGGAUCUGCAUUGGCCCUGUCAAGUCUGGAGAGUGUUUUUACCAUUUAAUGAAUUCAAUUGUAAUAAAAGUUUUUAAAUGGA